CCCUUAGAUGUUCUGGGCCGCACGCGCGCUACACUGAUGCAUUCAACGAGCACCCGCUGGGCCGAGAGGUCCGGCUAAUCUUUGAACGUGCAUCGUGCUGGGGAUAGAUGAUUGCAAUUAUUCAUCUUCAACGAGGAAUUCCUAGUAAACGCAAGUCAUCAGCUUGCAUUGAUUACGUCCCUGCCCUUUGUACACACCGCCCGUCGCACCUACCGAUUGAAUGGUCCGGUGAAAUUCUCGGACGCGGACUUGCGGUGUUAAUUCGGAGCUUGACUGUGAAAGUUAAUUAAACCUUACCAUUUAGAGGAAGGUGAANUCGUANCA
This 324-nucleotide ribosomal RNA is filed under the name uncultured eukaryote. Its description in RNAcentral is "partial 18S ribosomal RNA". It matches the Rfam family "Eukaryotic small subunit ribosomal RNA", at positions 1470 to 1796 of the family's 1831-position model. The record is from RNAcentral.